GAAAAACGUUGUUCUGAGCUCAACAAGCAGUAGUAGCAGUAUGCAAAUCAUAGAGCCAGAUGAAUGGCUCUUUCACCGAUGCAAUUCGGUUCCCGAGGUUCAACAAAAAGAUCCGUUCAAAAAGAGCCGUUCGUUCGUGAACGACACAUCAUUACUCUGUUGUUCUCCACCAUUUCGUAUCGUGAGCUGGAGGAGCGUUCGUCCAACUUCUCAUCCAAGUAAAUGGCAGCGGCGCAUCAUCCAUCCGCUGAACUCCCAAGGGACUGGGAGGAUAGUUCACGAUGCAACAAGCGUUUGGGGAGGACAUUCAUUGAAACGCAAUGACUGUUUUUACAUUCUUGAGGGACUCUUACUCCAGGGGAAAUCUCAGCAGCGAUGUCUCUGCUGUGCGUCAGAGGACUGUAGAGGUGGUGAUCAGAGAUGAAUUUAACUUGGAUAAAGAUGAGAAUCUCUGCUCUGGGGAGGAGGGUCACUGACCUUCGAUGGUUUGUUGCCUGAUAAAGAGGAUACUUGCUGGCUAGAGGAGACUAUAAUGUUUUGAGGAGGAAAUGUGGCUCGAUGACUUAAAGAGGAGGAGGAAUUAUUGGGCGACACUUUUAAUUACCAACGUAACCUCAGUGGAACUGUGGCUUCAUCGAGUUCCAGCUCUAGGCAGACAGCACGUCAGGAAUGCUGUAAGACAUCACAGAGACAGAUGCUUGGCUUUUUCUUUGUCUUUGUGUUGGAGAUUGGCUCUGAUGUUUCAGCCUCUUCUGGAGCUUCUAGCUGCUGGCUGUCUGGCCCCCCCUGAUGGUUCUCUGGCCCCUCCUGCUGGUUCUCUGAACUCCCCUCCUGGUUGUCUGCCCAUGCCUGUUGCCUCCUUGGCCUUUCCUGGUGGCCAUCAGCAGAUCCAGUGGGCUCUUGGCUUACUUGGCUUACUUGUUGGCCUGUGGCCCACCUGGGCAACUCCUGACCGUGGUUGUAAUCGUGGCUAUGUUGGGUGGUUAGACACCGGGUGUUGAUUUGAGCAUCAGCCUCCAGAUUCAUCUGCUCCAGCCUUCAGCAGCUCCUUCCUCUUCUCCCUCUCUCUCUCUGC
Molecule: long non-coding RNA, 1075 nt
Organism: Oncorhynchus tshawytscha (Chinook salmon)
Lineage: Eukaryota; Metazoa; Chordata; Actinopteri; Salmoniformes; Salmonidae
Source: Ensembl